Molecule: ribosomal RNA, 219 nt
Filed under: uncultured bacterium
Lineage: Bacteria
Description: partial 16S ribosomal RNA
Rfam family: Bacterial small subunit ribosomal RNA
Source: RNAcentral
GUUCUCAGUUCGGACUGUAGGCUGCAACUCGCCUACACGAAGCUGGAAUCGCUAGUAAUCGCGGAUCAGCACGCCGCGGUGAAUACGUUCCCGGGCCUUGUACACACCGCCCGUCACACCAUGAGAGUCUGUAACACCCAAAGCCGGUGGGAUAACCUUUAUAGGAGUCAGCCGUCUAAGGUAGGACAGAUGAUUAGGGUGAAGUCGUAACAAGGUACC